This 637-nucleotide ribosomal RNA is filed under the name uncultured Haplosporidia. Its description in RNAcentral is "SSU rRNA". It matches the Rfam family "Eukaryotic small subunit ribosomal RNA", at positions 1109 to 1799 of the family's 1831-position model. The record is from RNAcentral. Lineage: Eukaryota; Endomyxa; Ascetosporea; Haplosporida.
GGACUCGGGGGGAAGUAUGCUCGCAAGAGUGAAACUUAAAGGAAUUGACGGAAGGGCACCACCAGAUGUGGAGCCUGCGGCUCAAUUUAAGUCAACACGGGGAAACUUACCAGGUCCAGACAUAGGAAGGAUUGACAGAUUGAAGUUCUUUCUUGAUUCUAUGGAUAGUGGUGCAUGGCCGUUCUUAGUUGGUGGAGCGAUUUGUCUGGUUAAUUCCGAUAACGAACGAGACCUCAGCCUCCAAAUAGCCGCCGUUACUCUAGCGUCGCGGCUUCUUAGAGGGACGAUCUGCGCCAGCAGAAGGAAGUUCGAGGCAAUAACAGGUCAGUGAUGCCCUUAGAAGGUCUGGGAUGCACGCGCGCUACAAUGACACGCUCAGCAAGUCCGACCGGGUCCGAAAGGACUCGGAAAUCGCGAACGCGUGUCUCAGUGGGGACAGGAGAUUGCAAUUAUUCUCCUCGAACAAGGAAUAUCUAGUAAACGCAAGUCAUCAGCUUGCAUUGACUACGUCCCUGCCCUUUGUACACACCGCCCGUCGCUCCUACCGAUUGAAUGCCGAGGUGAAUUGAGCAGAGACGCUUCGGCGCCGAAGUUCCGUGAACCUCGUUAUUUAGAGGAAGAACAAGUCGUAACAAGG